Molecule: small RNA, 576 nt
Filed under: Pongo abelii (Sumatran orangutan)
Lineage: Eukaryota; Metazoa; Chordata; Mammalia; Primates; Hominidae
Description: processed transcript
Source: RNAcentral
ACCGCUGAACUCCCGUGUCCCUCCGCGCAGGCGGGCGGCCCCGGAGCGCUGGUGCCGGCAGAGGCGGCGACGGCGGCGCCCCUCCUCAUCAUGCCUUGGCAGCUGUGGCUUGGCCCAGACACAGAGACCCCCACCUCCAAAGAGGACGUCCUUACUAGGUGCCAAGCAUAUAAGAGUGAGGCCAGUCCCAGAACCGCAGGCUCCUGGCGCGCCCUGCAUGCCUCCAGCACGUUUCCCUUUCCGAGGUGGCAGCAAUGGGGAAAGCGCACGCUUAGGAGAGCUUCAGACAAGCUUCCCUCAUCCUCCUCCACGACCAGAAGCGGAAAGGUGCUCCCGGACCGAAAGGGACAGAAGGUUCAGCACUGCCCCGCUUGGGAAGGCACCCACAACCAGUGUAGGGACUAGGGGUAAGGCCGGCGGGGAGCCCGCGAAUGACCUGGGCUGACAUCUCUUCCCCUCUUUACACAGAACAGAGGCUUCUCCCGAAAAAGCCACACAUUCCUGCCCAAGAUCUUCUUCCGCAAGAUGUCAUCCUCAGGGACCAAGGACAAGCCUGAGCUGCAGUUUCCCUUCCUU